CAACGGUAACCUUAACCUCACAUUUUUAAAGCCGUGAGUGGAUGUGAUGUGUUCAUCUUGCAAUUUCUGUGAUAUCUAUCCGUUGAAUGAUUGAAAGGUGCAGUGUGGAACAUCAAGUCUACUUCCAGUGCCCCAAAUGAAGAAAUCCAUAUAAUAAUCCAAAAUUGGUUCUGAUUCUCCAAAGACCGUGAUGGAGGUCGAGAAAAACGGAGAAAUGAUCCAGCACCCAAUCACAUGUAACUAGGCCAAGUGCCAAUAAGUAAAUUUUUAGAGAAUCUCAAACAUCCAUAAUCUUUUUUGUAAUAAUUUUACAAUAUACAGACUUUUCAUGCAUUUAA
This is a long non-coding RNA of Nilaparvata lugens (brown planthopper), 338 nucleotides long. RefSeq lists it as uncharacterized. The transcript is spliced from 2 exons. Lineage: Eukaryota; Metazoa; Arthropoda; Insecta; Hemiptera; Delphacidae. The record is from RefSeq and is a predicted model, not a curated record.